GACGAACGCUGGCGGCGUGCUUAACACAUGCAAGUCGAACGGUAAGGCCCUUCGGGGUACACGAGUGGCGAACGGGUGAGUAACACGUGGGUGAUCUGCCCUGCACUUCGGGAUAAGCCUGGGAAACUGGGUCUAAUACCGGAUAGGACUCCGGACUGCAUGGUCUGGGGUGGAAAGCUUUUGCGGUGUGGGAUGGGCCCGCGGCCUAUCAGCUUGUUGGUGGGGUGAUGGCCUACCAAGGCGACGACGGGUAGCCGGCCUGAGAGGGUGACCGGCCACACUGGUACUGAGAUACGGCCCAGACUCCUACGGGAGGCAGCAGGGGGGAAUAUUGCACAAUGGGCGCAAGCCUGAUGCAGCGACGCCGCGGGAGGGAUGACGGCCUUCGGGUUUUAAACCUCUUUCAGCACAGACGAAGCGCAAGUGACGGUAUGUGCAGAAGAAGGACCGGCCAACUACGUGCCAGCCGCCCGCCGUAA
RNAcentral lists this ribosomal RNA (479 nucleotides) under uncultured bacterium. RNAcentral describes it as "partial 16S ribosomal RNA". It matches the Rfam family "Bacterial small subunit ribosomal RNA", at positions 28 to 523 of the family's 1533-position model. The record is from RNAcentral.